AUUGAACGCUGGCGGCAUGCCUUACACAUGCAAGUCGAACGGCAGCACGGGUGCUUGCACCUGGUGGCGAGUGGCGAACGGGUGAGUAAUACAUCGGCACAUGUCCUGUAGUGGGGGAUAGCCCGGCGAAAGCCGGAUUAAUACCGCAUACGAUCUACGGAUGAAAGCGGGGGGCCUUCGGGCCUCGCGCUUUAGGGUUGGCCGAUGGCUGAUUAGCUAGUUGGUGGGGUAAAGGCCUACCAAGGCGACGAUCAGUAGCUGGUCUGAGAGGACGACCAGCCACACUGGGACUGAGACACGGCCCAGACUCCUACGGGAGGCAGCAGUGGGGAAUUUUGGACAAUGGGCGAAAGCCUGAUCCAGCAAUGCCGCGUGUGUGAAGAAGGCCUUCGGGUUGUAAAGCACUUUUGUCCGGAAAGAAAUCCUUGGCCCUAAUACGGUCGGGGGAUGACGGUACCGGAAGAAUAAGCACCGGCUAACUACGUG
Molecule: ribosomal RNA, 486 nt
Filed under: uncultured bacterium
Lineage: Bacteria
Description: partial 16S ribosomal RNA
Rfam family: Bacterial small subunit ribosomal RNA
Source: RNAcentral